GACGGAGGGUGCUAGCGUUGUUCGGAAUGACUGGGCGUAAAGAGCGCGCAGGCGGUCGUUCAAGUCGCGUGUGAAAGCCCCCGGCUCAACUGGGGAGGGUCACGCGAUACUGAUCGACUCGAAGGCAGGAGAGGGUAGUGGAAUUCCCGGUGUAGUGGUGAAAUGCGUAGAUAUCGGGAGGAACACCAGUGGCGAAGGCGACUACCUGGCCUGUUCUUGACGCUGAGGCGCGAAAGCUAGGGGAGCAAACGGG
RNAcentral lists this ribosomal RNA (253 nucleotides) under uncultured bacterium. Its description in RNAcentral is "partial 16S ribosomal RNA". It matches the Rfam family "Bacterial small subunit ribosomal RNA", at positions 524 to 776 of the family's 1533-position model. The record is from RNAcentral.